Molecule: ribosomal RNA, 440 nt
Filed under: uncultured bacterium
Lineage: Bacteria
Description: partial 16S ribosomal RNA
Rfam family: Bacterial small subunit ribosomal RNA
Source: RNAcentral
CCUACGGGGUGCAGCAGUAGGGAAUAUUGCUCAAUGGGGGCAACCCUGAAGCAGCAACGCCGCGUGGAGGAUGAAGGUUUUCGGAUUGUAAACUUCUUUUGUCAGAGAAGAUAAUGACGGUGUUUAACGAAUAAUCACCGGCUAACUCCGUGCCAGCAGCCGCGGUAAUACGGAGGGUGCAAGCGUUACUCGGCAUCAUUGGGGGGAAAGAGAGGGUAGGCGGGAUAGCAAGUCAGAUGUGAAAUCGUAUGGCUUAACCAUAGUACUGCAUUUGAAACUGUUAUUCUAGAGUAUGGGAGAGGUAGGGGGAAUUCUUGGUGUAGGGGUAAAAUCCGUAGAGAUCAAGAGGAAUACUCAUUGCGAAGGCGAACUGCUAGAACAUAACUGACGCUGAUGCGCGAAAGCGUGGGGAGCAAACAGGAUUAGAUACCCCGGUAGUC